Molecule: small nuclear RNA, 166 nt
Organism: Cucurbita pepo subsp. pepo (vegetable marrow)
Lineage: Eukaryota; Viridiplantae; Streptophyta; Magnoliopsida; Cucurbitales; Cucurbitaceae
Product: U1 spliceosomal RNA
Source: RefSeq, a predicted model, not a curated record
UUACUUACCUGGACGAGGUUGAUGGGCGAUCAAGAAGGCUCAUGGCCCAGAUUGGUGACCUCCAUUGCACACAAAGGAGGGGGUGCCCAUCUAAGGUCUGCCCAAUGCGGCAGAGCCUACGUCAUUAUUUGUGGCAGCGGGGGGCCUGCGUUCGCGCGGCCCCUUC